RNAcentral lists this non-coding RNA (25 nucleotides) under Cricetulus griseus (Chinese hamster). Lineage: Eukaryota; Metazoa; Chordata; Mammalia; Rodentia; Cricetidae. The record is from RNAcentral.
CUGGCUGAGAUGUGAGCAACGGCAG